RNAcentral lists this ribosomal RNA (253 nucleotides) under uncultured bacterium. RNAcentral describes it as "partial 16S ribosomal RNA". It matches the Rfam family "Bacterial small subunit ribosomal RNA", at positions 524 to 776 of the family's 1533-position model. The record is from RNAcentral.
UACGGAGGGAGCUAGCGUUGUUCGGAUAUACUGGGCGUAAAGGGUGCGUAGGCGGGUCUUUAAGUCAGGGGUGAAAUCCUGGAGCUCAACUCCAGAACUGCCUUUGAUACUGAAGAUCUUGAGUUCGGGAGAGGUGAGUGGAACUGCGAGUGUAGAGGUGAAAUUCGUAGAUAUUCGCAAGAACACCAGUGGCGAAGGCGGCUCACUGGCCCGAUACUGACGCUGAGGCACGAAAGCGUGGGGAGCAAACAGG